CUAUAUGAUGAUUUUUUAAAUAUUCACACUGUACUAGGAGUUUAAGUACUCCAAUGACUACAUUAAACAAAAAACUGAUUUAAUGACUCUGAUA
This 94-nucleotide small nucleolar RNA is filed under the name Naumovozyma dairenensis CBS 421. The record is from RNAcentral. Lineage: Eukaryota; Fungi; Ascomycota; Saccharomycetes; Saccharomycetales; Saccharomycetaceae.